Long non-coding RNA from Tyto alba (common barn owl), 834 nucleotides. RefSeq lists it as uncharacterized. The transcript has 2 exons. NCBI's taxonomy places the organism in Eukaryota, Metazoa, Chordata, Aves, Strigiformes, Tytonidae. The record is from RefSeq and is a predicted model, not a curated record.
UGUGCCCAGCGCUGAAUAAACAUACCUACUUUACAAUCUAUCAGAUUGUGGAGUCUGUUUUCCGCACGUCAGUUUUGGCGAGCCAGGCAGGAGACUCUCUGCUCGACUACGGGAUCGACUGCGGGGCGGACUCUCCCAGGCGCGCCCCGAGCACUUUCCUCGGAGGAGCCUCCGCUACCAGCCGCUCACCGUGGGGGGCAGACAAGGACUUCCUGAAGCCGCGGACCAAACGUCUCUUACAGAGAAAACCUUGGAGCCACAGUGGGAAGGGCCAUUCCAGGUGCUGCUCACGACGUUUACAGCCAUCAAGAUUAGGGAAUACUCGGCCUGGAUACAUCACACCCGAGUAAAGAAAGCCCAUAAAUCCCCAUGGAAAGUUACCCAAGUUCGGCCAGGAAGAUUACGCUUCUCACGAUAAGUCUGAUAAUCAUUUUUCCUCUAAUGCAUAGUCGAAGGUUCAGUGAAUGGCCAUGGUCCCAGGCUUACAUUGGGCAUACUAAUAAGACUAGAAAUGUGAGCAACCACACGUUGGCUACUAUAGUUAUGCAGGGGAGAAAUGUGCCCACAAAAGAAGAAUGGGAUGCCUAUCCAGGAGAACCACAAUUGCAGGGAACAUUGGGACAAGAAAUGAAAAUUCAGAUGCAGAGCAUUUAAUAGCUCUACUUACUGGGCAGGAAAACAAAGGCUGUUUGGGACAAAGCCACCAAUUUUGAAAGGAGAUUCCAAUCUUGGUGGACUAUGGUGAAUUUUACUUAUGACCCCACUACUAACAUAGCUACUGCCUUUGUGCUCACUAUACAUAAUGCCACAGUUUAUGUAAUCCACCCCAUCAUU